Molecule: transfer RNA, 60 nt
Filed under: Mus musculus (house mouse)
Lineage: Eukaryota; Metazoa; Chordata; Mammalia; Rodentia; Muridae
Source: Rfam by way of RNAcentral
AUGGCUCAGAUAUACAGAGCACUGGUUGCUAGUCCAGAGGUCCUGGGUUCAAUUCCCAGU